Molecule: long non-coding RNA, 7331 nt
Filed under: Polistes canadensis
Lineage: Eukaryota; Metazoa; Arthropoda; Insecta; Hymenoptera; Vespidae
Description: uncharacterized LOC106787157
Source: RNAcentral
UCAAUUGGGAAACGAGUGGGAGACGUUCGUUCAAUUGGGAAACGAGUGGGAGACGUUCGUUCAAAUAAAAUGACUAUCAUUAUAUUUUUAGAAAAGAAAAAAAGAAAACAAAAAAACAUACGACGAACGUUUUCGACUUUCUUAAAUUUUGAACAAACUUAUCCUCCUCGUGUAAAUUUGAUAUAAAUAAAAGUUCUUUAGUCAUCCUCGGAAAAUUUUAGGCUCUUGUCGCGAAUUUGUUUUUUCUAUCAUCGUUUAACAAAAAUAUCUUCUCAUUAAUAAUUAAUAUUACGUGCGCGUGCGCGUGCGUGCGAGCGAUUAAAAGAAAUAUUAGGAUUAAGAUAAUUUAGCAAUGAUUAUGUAAAUUAUUGUAAAUUAUUUCACAUAAAUCUGUGCGUAAAUUUUAAAUAUUAAUUAUUGACGGGUGACGCGAUGUAAUUAUCCUAGGACUUUAGAUUUAGACGGGGUUGACAGUUGUUUGUCUGCGAUUAGAUAUGUUCUGCGAUUAGAUAUGUUCUGCGAUUAUAGGAUUAAGAAUUAGGAAUUAGGGAAAAUUCUACUUAAUUAGUUUCUAAUUCUUAUUUUUAAAAAUUCAAUUGGCAAAACCUGUUUCAAAUUUAUAUAAAUAUAUAUACGUUCAUAGAAACUUGCUCGGGAAUGAUUUUAAUUUGUAUAAUGUCCGACAAUGACGAUGCUAGGUAAAAAGAAAGAUAGACAGAGUAAGAAGUAUCCCUUAAGAGAAAUGUACCAAAACUUAAAUGUUUUAAAAAAGUAUGGCGAGAGCUUUCAUGAAAUGAUGGUCAAAUAACCGAAGAAAUAAUAUUAUUGUUCCAUACGGUACGACAGUAAAUAAGUAAGUGAACAGAUUUAGAAUUAGUUUGAUAAGUAAUAAACGACUCCUAACAUGGAACGCAAAUGCGCGAUGAUUUAUAAUUAGAUCCUAAGUUUUUAGAAAAGAAGUUUGCCAAUUCACUAUUUUCUAGAGCCUGCCAGGUAUCACAAAUAAUGCUAGUUAUCCAGUAUCAUCUAUUUAGCGUAGUUGAUUACGUUAUAAAAAAAAAAAAACUACAUUAUUAUUCUACCCGAUAAGUAAUUAGAAAUUUGUGUUCUAAAAGAAAAAGAUUUGUUAGGUAUAUUUUUGAUGAAAUACGUUUUAUUAGGAUGAACGGAGUAUAAAUCACGAGGAUUAGCAUCGUAAAAAAAUAAAAGACAAAAAAAAAUAAAAAAGAUAAAAAAAAAAAAAAAAAAAAAAAAAAAAAAAAUAAAAAAAAGAAAAAACAAAAAAUAAAACAAACAAAAAACAAAAAAUAAAACAAACAAAAAAGAGGCAAAUACAAAAAAUUGGUAGCGGAAACUUGAUAAAAUCACAACAAUGAUCGAGAGUUAGCCAACCAACCUUACAACAAAAAAAUUGAUAAAAUUUACAAAAAAAAUUUGCAAAAUAUUUAAAAAAUUACAAAAAAAAAAAAGAAAGAAAAGAAAAAAAAAGAAAAAGAAAUAAAAGAUAGGAGAAACAACGACUAUGAACAACACGCGUAACCCAAUACCACCGUACCUAUUUGGUUGACAGGACACGCAAAUUGAAGAUAAAAGUUAUCCCUCAAUAGGAUAAUAUGUGGUGGCAGAGUAAAAACAGGCAGCAGAAACGAUUCCUUCACUAUCUUAUUCGCAUCAACAUCAAAUUCUAAGUGCAUCCCGAACUUAAAUAGUUCGAAAAGCAAGAAGAGAAGGGGGUCUUUUUUCUGACGUUUUCACGAAAAUGUCUGAGAGAUCACGUGGCAACACACUUGUUAGAUAUAUAGCGAAUGAGUUAUCCUUCCAAAAAUACCACAUUCGAGUAAUGUUCGUACUAAAAAGACACCUAACGCGUCAGCUUUUUACCACCAACGACCAACAACACUGUGUAUGUGUGUGUGUGUUACUUUACUUUGAUUAUACACACAAACAAACACCCACAGUCCCGCUGAAAUUCCGAUUCCAAUCAACGAACGGAUGAUGAUACAUUUUCGAACUUUCUCGAGAGAUUUUCAAUGUUUCGGGGUUCCAUUUUAGAAGAGCGAACAUUUCUCUGGGAUUAGUGUUGUAUAGAAAUAAUCUUUGGUAACUUGAAGAAGGAUUGGGUGGGAAAAGAUUUACAAAUUGAGAUAGAGUCUCAUGCACCUUAGUAUACUUAACAUCGUUAUGUGUGUAAUAUUUGAAUGUCAUCUUUUAAAUUUAGUAAAAGUUCAUCUUUUAAAUUUAGUAAAAGUUCAUCUUUUAUAGUGUUACGAAUAUUCAUGACCAACAAUUAUGCAAUCUCGUAGUAAUAUACAUAGGCUCUGAGGUAUAACAAUUAAUAAAUUGAUCUCCAAAUAACAUACAAGAAAAAGGAUGAUCAGUUUAAAUCGUAAAAAUACAAGAUAAAUAUUGCUUUAGAUACUUCAGGUACUUACCCAUAGGUCCGAAUACACUUCAAAAUUAUUUGAUUCGAUGAAAAGAAUUUUUCGCAGGUAUUCGGAAUUGAACAGAAACUGUCGUUUAACGAUUACUGAUAAUCAUAUUAAUCAAUCUCAAAUAAAAAAGGAUAAAAAUCCUCCCUCGGUCUCGGUGUUAGAGAGUAAAAUCACGUUCGAUCGAUCAGAGAGAGGAUAAUAAAAUAAAAAUAUUCCGAAACGAUGUUUCAAUCGUCAUCCAACCGUGUAAUUCAACUUUAUUCUAUGGAUAAUGAUAGAAACAUAUCGCGGAAUUGAGAGAUAUCGGUGCAAAUGGUAAUAAAUUAACGCAAAAUAACUUACCCCCGAUAGGAUUCACGAUUUAUGCUAAAGUUUCCUUAAAAUAAAAGGAAUGAAAGAUAAAAAAGCAAAUAGGAAGGAACAAUCUUGAGCCUUGUAUGAACGAAUACAUUAAAGGUGUGUACUAUGUUUUAUCUCGUAUAGAUAAAAAAUAGUUAUUAAGUGAAAACAGUAAAACUAAAUUGAGAAUAAUAUUAUUCUCAAAUCUGAAAAUCUUAUUCUCUGAAUCCCAUUCAAGGAAACGUCAUCUCACUUAGGCGCGCAUACUUAGGUAAUUCUAACGUUGACCCCCUUUUUUGUUCUUUCUUUUUUUUCUUACAACAGGAGGUAAAAUUUUAACCUCCUUUUUAACAUACCAUGGGUUGGGAGGGGCAGGUUAAAAGCCUUUUAAAAACGGACAACACACUAUAUUAUUUCCUGGACGGGUAAACUAAAGCCAAGUACUCGUGAGUCUUUCAUAAUUUUUAAAAAUAUCGUCCAGGUAAAUACACCCACUACCCCCUCGCUUCCCUAUUCUAUAUACAAUUCACUGAAACAAUUAUUAUUUUUUUGUCGUGUUAGUGUGUUUGUCCUAAGUAAUAUUCUAUAUCCUUUGAAAAAUAAUUUUAAUAAUCGUAUCGAAUUCAUUUUAAAAACAAAUUUAAAUGGCAUAAAACCAUAAGAUUUUAAUUGUCCGAAUGAUUUACUUGCUUUUAAGAUAGCUUGUAACGGGGAACAGGUUUUUAAAUAAACUUUUUAAGAUCGGUUUAUUGAUAAGAAACAAAAAUACUAUGAUGUUCACGUAGUAUGAAUGAUGAGCGUGCCAUUGAAAUUUUUAACGUAAGAGACUCUUUUUUCAUCUCUUCUCGAGGUGAUAAAGAUUAUUAUAAAUGUAAAAAACAAAACAAGCGGAGAGAUUAUUUUAAUCACAUAGUUAAGCACAAUUACGCGUGAGAGCUUUCAUUAUCGUAAAAUAAUAUUAUCAUUAUCGUAACAUUUUUACUCCUACGACUAGUUGCUUUUCUUAUUUCCUUAUCGAUGGGUAUCAUAAAAACAAUAAUAAUAAUAAUAAUUAAAUAAAAACAAAAAAAAAAAUAUAAAAAUAUAAUAAAAAGAACGACGAGCAAUCGUCGUCGUCAAAAAAGAAAAUAAAAAAAAAAUAAAUAUAUAAAUAAGUUUAAGUGGUUCACAAGAGUGUGUAGUAGUAUUCGUUAAUUUAAGAGGCGGAACUGGACCUGAUUAGAAUGAAGCAUUUUAAUUGUUAAUUAAUAAAUAUAUGCCAAGGGGUAUUCUAGUAUCUUGAUAAAUAUGGUUAACAAUAAUCUACUAAUGUAGAUUAAAUAAUAUCGAUUGAUUAUUCAUAAAAAUGAAUAUACGUUUUAGGGAGGCAAGUGAAAUUUUGUUCGUGUCGCUUAAAACAAUAAAUAUAACCAAUCAACUGUGCACCCUCAUUUUAAAAUGAUCGAUAGGUUAUAAUAUACUUGAAGAAAAUUGUCUGAAAAGUUUUUAACCGAUUACAAAAAUCAAACGAAAUAUUUCCUUCGUUUAAGAACGUAAAAAAAAAAAAAAAGAAAAAAAAGGGAGAAAAUAAUAUGCACGAUAUACUUACAAGUUCAAAACCACCGAAAUAAUAAUCUUCCCUGUCGGAUAAUAAAAAAAAAAAUAUAACACGACCCGUUUGAGAAAAGAGAGACACCCUAAAUGAAAAAAGAAACUAAAAUCCAAAACGAGAUAAAUGAUGAAAAGCAGCACACAACAACACGCUCUUUGUUGCACGAAUACGAUUUAAAAAAAAAAAAAGAUACUCGAUUAUAAAUCAAUUAGCUUUUGCGUUAAUGCAUACAUAUUAAAAAUGCACGUUACUUAAACGUAACACAUACUUAUACACGACAGACCAGACACAUACACAAGCAAGUAGCAUUUUAAAACUGGAAUAUAUACAAAUAUUCCUUUAAUUAGGUAAUAGUUGUAAUGAUUAAUAAACGGGCUAGGAAUCAUUAGUUCUUAAUAUUAAAUCAUAAAAAUCUAUAAAGUUCAUUCGAGAACUUAUGGUUACAAUGGCAACUAACCCAUAGCAUCGAAUCACGAAUAAAGUCUCUGUAGAAAACUUAUGAGAAAUUUUUCAUUCGAAACUUAACGAUGUCUCGUUGAAUUUACUGGAUAAAACGAUUGUUCAUUCAAACGAAAAUAAAAUGAAAUGAAAUGAAAUGAAAGAAAUGAAGGGAGGGAUUAAGGACGGAAGGAAGAAUAUUAUUUAAAAAAAUAUAUGAUAGGGUGUUAGUUGUUAAUCAUACAACACAACAACUGCGUGACAUUUAUAUAUACAUUAAAAUAUCUACACAUACGUAUAUAUAUUUAUUAAUAUUUAUAUAUACUUAUGUAUACAUAAUUAUAUGUAUAUAAUAUAAUAUCUCUAUCUCUAUCUUUAUUAACAAAAAAGAAAAAAAAAGAGGAAAACACGUCACUGAUUAAUGAUAAACUGCGUAUUAUUGAAUACAUACAUACAUAUAUAUAAGUCAUUUUAUAUAUUAUAAAUAUAAAUACUUAUAUGUAUAUAUUUAUAUAUUACUAUAAUUACACGAAAUAUCCGAGGAAAACUUUACAUUUACACAUACUACUCUACAUGAGAAUAUUAUUAAAUUACGAGCUAUAAAAAGAAUAAAAACAAGAUAAAGGAAAAAAAGAAAAAUAAGAUUUGGGAUAAUAACUUAAACGAUUUGUAUUGUAUAUCUCGAUGGCUUGAAGGUAGUAUAUACAUCAUUUUGCUUAUUUUUAGAAUACGAUAUUAUAAUCGUGAAUAUAACACGUUUAAUUAUGAUUAUUUUAUUAUAAACUAUGGGAUUGGUAUUAAACGUUUGUACGAUGUGUUGUAUAACCAGGGUUAUAAAUCGCUAUAGAAUACAGUUUAUCACUUAUGUUAGGUAUAGAAACGCGUAGAUUAUGUAUCUACUACAGUGUGUGUUUUAUAAUACUACUGGUUCUUUAUCUACUUAAUAACAAAAAAAAAAAAAAAAGGUCUACACAAAUGCAACAACAAAUUACAAGUUUUACUAUACUAUUGUACGCUCCUGACAAAUAUUUUACAAAACGACACAUUUUUACUUCUAAUAGAUACAUUUUAUCUGGCUAUGUUUAUAUCAUAAAACUUAUAUAAUGAUAUUAAUAUAUAAAAAUAAUAUAUCAGUGUGCUACGUUAAAAACAAAAAUAACGAGCAAACAUAAUAUAACAGAAUUCAUAAAUCUUUUACUGGCUGAGAAAAAACAAUAAAGUGAAAUCAGAUAUAAAAAAAAAAAACAAUCAUUGAGUAUUCUAUUUUUUUCUUUUUUAUUUAUUACAAUAACCAAUUAUAUCGUCCUUCCUAUAUUAAUAUUAAUAUUUAAACUUUACGCUCCCACAUGUUUCAUAGUUUUAAUUUUUGUAUCUACCUUAUUGGUGUGUAUCAUUGAAGCUUGAUACGCGUACACUAAUCAAAAUCAUUUUGGGAUCCGGAGGAAGAUAAAAUUUGUUAAAUGGGUCUCUCUUACUAAGAAAAAUCAUCCUAAUUGUUGUCGAAUGAGAAAUCAUUUUUGAAGAAGACACUCGUUCAAUUACUUCAAUGAAUUUAUUUUCAAAUAUCAUUGUAAAAUUGUGAAAUAUAUUUAUUAUUAAAAUAAAAAAAGAAAAACAAAAACACACACACAUAUAUUGAAAUAACAUAUUAUUAUUUAUUAAGAGAGUAUAAAUUAAAUUUGAUAAUCCAUAUUAUUAUAUCUUUACUAAUAAAAUUUUUAAUCGAUAAAUUUAUCGAGAUCAUCUGUUCUAUGAUUAAACGAAAUAACUUUCAUAUAAUGCGAAUACUUAUUGAAUGGUUAAACAAUUAAAAUUUGUUACGAAUUAUUCUCGAGAUAUAAUUGUCUGCUAAAAAAUAAAAAAAUAAUAUUAAGGAAUAAAUAAUGAUUGAAAAUCGAUGUGAAAAAGGGCGUUUAAAAAACAAAUAUCAAUAAUAUAUAUAUAUAUAUUAUAAUUAAUAUAAUCAAAAUUGCAUCUAACGUGAGAUAAAUAUUACACAGUAUACAUUUUAAAGUUGUUUAAAAUUGAAGAAUAUAAAAAGAGCCCAUAAUUUGUGAACACUUUUUAACAAAAAAUGAGUUGUUUUAAAAGAAAUCUUUAAAAAAAUAUAUAAUACACUAGAUGAGAAAUAAUUACGAUUCAAAGAACAAAAAGAUAUUUCUAUGCAAAGUACUACUACCACCAUGCUAUAAAAACUGAAGAGACAAAGUUAGAUACUAAAAAGAAACGGAAGAAAAAAAAAAAAAGUAAAAGGGUUAUAGUCUCGACGGAAAAGUUUCUCAGACAACAAACGUUUUACGAUUGAUCGUUCGAGAGUUACUUGAAAAUAAUAAAAAAUAAAAAUUACAUAUCUUGCUUUUUAUAGAUAGAGAUGAUUCUUUGCUUCGAAAAAUCAUAGAUUAAAAAAGAGAAAAAAAGGUAUGAGAACGGAGGAAAACUAUUAAAGAACAAUGAUUUUCCACGACAAAGUAUACUAAAGUAAAUUUCAAAUUUAAGGUACGUACAUAUUGACGAGUAAUUGAUUAGUAUAA